CUAUACUUUAUAGGUGCUUAUCUGAUAUUUGAGCCAACCUUAAUUCUCUCUUCAGAGCAUGUCUGAUUCUUUCCCCUGGCUUGGAAAAUACAGUGACUCAACUCUCAGUCUGAGAAGAGUAAGCAAUCAUACUCUAACACUUCAGAAGAGAGAGAGAAAAACUGCUUGCAACCCUAUAAAGAUUAUUAAAUCUUUUGGAGAGAUUUAGUGAAGAUGAUGCCAAAGAAAUAUCCUGGACUCACCUCUGGUGAACACAAAUCUACAGCCACAUAAGGAAUGAUGCUCACUGAAAAGAAUCUGAAAGCUAGCUGAACAGCACCUCCACAACAAAGGAUGAAAGGAUCACAUUGAGACAGGUAGGAAGAGCAGAGACAUGGUCUUGCAAGAAAUCUCACCCCAGGCUCUGCAACCCACAGUU
RNAcentral lists this long non-coding RNA (418 nucleotides) under Felis catus (domestic cat). Its description in RNAcentral is "lncRNA (ENSFCAG00000048727.1)". The record is from RNAcentral. Lineage: Eukaryota; Metazoa; Chordata; Mammalia; Carnivora; Felidae.